GCUGGGUGCAGUGGCGCACGCCUGUAAUCCCAGAGACUCAGGAGGUUGAGACAGGAGGAUAGCAAGCUCAAAGCCAGCCUCAGCAACAGUGAGGCACUGAGCAACUCAGUGAGACCAUGUCUCUA
Molecule: small RNA, 125 nt
Filed under: Marmota monax (woodchuck)
Lineage: Eukaryota; Metazoa; Chordata; Mammalia; Rodentia; Sciuridae
Source: RNAcentral